RNAcentral lists this ribosomal RNA (1244 nucleotides) under metagenome. Its description in RNAcentral is "bacterial LSU rRNA". It matches the Rfam family "Bacterial large subunit ribosomal RNA", at positions 1564 to 2818 of the family's 2925-position model. The record is from RNAcentral.
UGAAUACGAGACGCUAAGGCGUCGAAGUAGUGUAUGUCAUACUUCCAAGAAAAGCUUGCACUGUCAUAGAUAAAAAACGCCUGUACCAUAACCGACACAGGUGGGUAGGUAGAGUAUACUAAGGGGCGCGAGAUAACUCUCUCUAAGGAACUCGGCAAAAUAACUCCGUAACUUCGGGAGAAGGAGUGCCUUAUUCGUAAGGUUGCAAUAACAAGAUCCAAGCAACUGUUUAUCAAAAACACAGGUCUCCGCUAAGUCGUAAGACGAUGUAUGGGGGCUGACGCCUGCCCAGUGCCAGAAGGUUAAAGAAGUUGGUUAGCAAUUGCGAAGCUGAUAACUGAAGCCCUGGUGAACGGCGGCCGUAACAAUAACGGUCCUAAGGUAGCGAAAUUCCUUGUCGGGUAAGUUCCGACCCGCACGAAAGGCGUAAUGAUUUGGAUACUGUCUCGGAGAGGGGCUCGGUGAAAUAGACUUGUCUGUGAAGAUGCGGACUACCUGCACCAGGACAGAAAGACCCUAUGAAGCUUUACUGUAACUUGAAAUUGAAAUUGGACUUUAUUCGCGCAGUAUAGGUGGGAGGCGUUGAUUAUAAUCUUGUGGGAUUAUUGGAGCCAUCAGUGAGAUACCACUCUUGUAAUGUUAGAUUUCUAACUUUGAAUCAUUAUCUGGUCAAAGAACAGUUUCAGGCGGGCAGUUUGACUGCGCGGUCGCCUCCUAAACGGUAACGGAGGCUUACAAAGGUUUCCUCUGAACGGUUAGAAAUCGUAUCUAGAGUGUAAAGGCAUAAGGAAGCUUGACUGUGAGACCUACAAGUCGAGCAGGGACGAAAGUCGGUCUUAGUGAUCUGACGGUACUGAGUGGAAAGGCCGUCACUCAACGGAUAAAAGUUACUCUAAGGAUAACAGGCUGAUCUCCCCCAAGAGUUCACAUCGACGGGGAGGUUUGGCACCUCGAUGUCGGCUCAUCGCAUCCUGGGGCGGUAGUACGUCCCAAGGGUUGGGCUGUUCGCCCAUGAAAGCGGUACGCGAGCUGGGUUCAGAACGUCGUGAGACAGUUCGGUCCAUAUCCGGUGUAGGCGUUAGAAUAUUGAGAGGAGCCUUCUUUAGUACGAGAGGACCGAGAAGGACAUACCUCUGGUGUACCAGUUAUCGUGCCAACGGUAAACGCUGGGUAGCUAUGUAUGGAGUGGAUAACCGCUGAAAGCAUCUAAGUGGGAAGCCCACCUCAAGAUAAGUAUUCUCAUC